CCCCCUCUCUCUUCGUGCCGCUCUGUACUGCUCAGUGCACUGUCUCCUGCACAAAAUUUGUCUGUUUCUCCUUUUCCUCCUCACCAGCAUUCAUCACUCAUCCACCCUUCUCAAAAAGGGGUUAGAAAAAAUUAGAGAGAGAAAAUUAUCAAUUACAGAAAUUUUAAUCUUAUUUACAUAUAUAUAUAUAGAUACAGUCCACUUGUAUCUACACAUCACCUCUUGAAGGAAGAAAAGGAAGCUGGUCGGAGUUUCCGCACAGGUGAUGUUUAUAGCUGCCGUUUUCAUCCUCCGUGUACGAAACCCCUCUUUUUGCUUCAAACCCUUAUUUUUCGCUGAUUUUACAGUUUUGUAAUU
This 357-nucleotide long non-coding RNA is filed under the name Erythranthe guttata (spotted monkey flower). Its description in RNAcentral is "long non-coding RNA (EGUT_LNC002287)". Lineage: Eukaryota; Viridiplantae; Streptophyta; Magnoliopsida; Lamiales; Phrymaceae. The record is from RNAcentral.